Molecule: ribosomal RNA, 374 nt
Filed under: uncultured bacterium
Lineage: Bacteria
Description: bacterial SSU rRNA
Rfam family: Bacterial small subunit ribosomal RNA
Source: RNAcentral
GACGAACCGUGCGAACGUUGUUCGGAAUCACUGGGCUUAAAGGGCGCGUAGGCCGGUCGCCAAGUCAGGGGUGAAAUCCUCCAGCUUAACUGGAGAACUGCCUCUGAUACUGGCGACCUCGAGGAAGGUAGGGGCGUGUGGAACUCUAGGUGGAGCGGUGAAAUGCGUUGAUAUCUAGAGGAACUCCGGUGGCGAAGGCGACACGCUGGACCUUUUCUGACGCUGAGGCGCGAAAGCCAGGGGAGCAAACGGGAUUAGAUACCCCGGUAGUCCUGGCCCUAAACGUUGGGUACUAGGUAGUGGACUUACAUGGGUUCACUGCCGAAGCAAAAGUGAUAAGUACCCCGCCUGGGGAGUAUGGUCGCAAGGCUGAA